This 481-nucleotide ribosomal RNA is filed under the name uncultured bacterium. RNAcentral's name for it is "partial 16S ribosomal RNA". It matches the Rfam family "Bacterial small subunit ribosomal RNA", at positions 29 to 506 of the family's 1533-position model. The record is from RNAcentral.
AUUGAACGCUGGCGGCAUGCUUUACACAUGCAAGUCGAACGGUAACAGGUCUUCGGAUGCUGACGAGUGGCGAACGGGUGAGUAACACAUCGGAACGUGCCUAGUAGUGGGGGAUAACUACUCGAAAGAGUAGCUAAUACCGCAUGUGAUCUAAGGAUGAAAGCAGGGGACCUUCGGGCCUUGCGCUACUAGAGCGGCUGAUGGCAGAUUAGGUAGUUGGUGGGAUAAAAGCUUACCAAGCCGACGAUCUGUAGCUGGUCUGAGAGGACGACCAGCCACAUGUGGACUGGAAAAGGGCCCGGAAUCCUGCGGGAGGGAGCGGGGGGGAAUUUUGGACAAUGGGAGAAAGCCUGAUCCACAAAUGCACGGAACAAGAUGAAGGCCUUGAGGAUGGAGAGUGGUUUUUGCCGGAAAAAAAAGACGCUCCGUAAAAAAAGGGGUUAGUGACGGUACCGAAAAAAGAAACAACCGCCAACUACGU